CAGCACCAAGAGGGAACCCGGCUGAAGGGAAACAGUGGACUUUGGGUGACUAUGAUGGGUCAGCGUAGGUUCAGCCUUGGUAAACCCUCAUGUCUUUUGCCCUUCAGGAACUGAUCUACAAAUAAACUGAAACACACAUAAAUCCCCUACAUCAGAAAGUAAAAAGCUCUAAAUAUUAUAAGAUAUGCAAAUAGAAGACUGCAAGUUUAUAGGCUUCAAUUUCAAAAGUGGCAUCAAACAAGGGAAAACAACAGACACCUGUGGCGUGCCGCCGUGCGCAGACGCGCCAUGAAGCACUGUGGAGUGUCCAGCAACAUGGCGGCUGUGGCCCUGCCUGCCACGAGCAAAGAAAGCGCUGGAGGCCGAGAAAAGGCCGGAGCAACGGAACAGUAAUUCACAAGACAAGGACCUAAGAGAUGUCACGAAGUAAGACACGGGUGAUGAGGCUUCUGGAGUAGAGAACUGGGAGAUCGCUUCUGACUCAGACGGUCGGGGGUGGCUUUGUUCCUGUAACCAUCUGUGCCUAUGACGGUCACCACUUCCUGAGCACUUGCGCUCUUCUUCAUGCUUCACACUCAUCUCUAAUCAUCACAACCCAGCAAGGGUGAAGUUCUUCAUCAAAUUAUCGCAGAACUGGGAGAAAGCCUGGACGACUUACACAAUUACUAUCUUAACCCCUUACCAGCUGCUCACCUGUGCGCACACUGGAUUUACACCAAGAGACCCAGGUGAAAUAUUCUGUGGAGCUCCCUGCAAAUAGACUGUCAGCCUCCACUCUGAUAAAAGGUAAAAUAUCCUCCUCUAAAUGGUCUGGUUCACAAAACCGACCCUAAAGUGAACUGAUAAAUCUGUUCUGACACACGGAAAACUAUUUUCAUAAUCCUGAAAAAGGCCUUUCUCCAAACCCCGGAGCUUAAACCAGCCUCACAAAGAGCCUUGUACCCUUGAGAGCCCGGCGGAGGAGGAAAUCACUUCACAUUUAUAACCCUGCUUUCCGGGACAACGGCACGAAGAGCGCACGGCACCAUUGCAACCACCAAGGAAAAUCAGACAGUCAUGGAGUCACGAAAAUUACAGAGAUAACACAUUCACAAGCAGCAAAUGCCUUGGCAAAACCUCACGUAGGAGAGGGAAAGCCAAGGAGGCCAGCUCAGAGGUGGACGCUCAUUGACUAACCGUCAAUUCUUCAUUAAAUGGAAGCUCUGACUUCCCAAGAAGCCGUAUUAAAAAUUAAUACCAAAAAGUGUGUUGCCAGCCUACACUCAUCAUUCAUGUAUAACAACAUCAAACUGCAUUCCAGUGGAAUUUUGCCUUUGAAGUUACUCUGACACCAAAACUAAGUUUGAUGCUGUGACAGAAGCAGUCACAGCUCUGGGGCACGAGGAUUUUAAAGACCCCUUACUCUGUAGGUCUCCAUCACACCGCUCUCUUAAUCACCAGAAUAAAUCAAGCUGCUGGUAACCCUACCUAAUCGCAGGCUUUGAAGCCAUUGAGGGGAGCUGUGACGCUGGGACCCUCUCGGGUAUGGCCUCCACAUGUUUCCCUCAGUCAUUACCUACAACUCAAGUGGCCUGGACCCCAGCCAACGUUCGCACGUCUCCCCAGAAGAGUGGGAAUGCAGCCUGCUCCAGCGGCUUCCGACCGGAGGGGCCUGUGGACGACAAUGAGCUCCCGACCCACACGCGCAUGCUCUGUGAAGUCCUGAUCUCCCAGCUGCUGGUCAGGAGCCUGGAGAAGCUGCAUGUGAAGACAGCUAGCACAGCUGGGGGGCUGCACCCCAACCGGCAGCCCCUCGGGGCCCAGGCUCAGCACCCCAGUGAAAUGCUGCACAACCAGUGAUCCUGUGACCACAAGCAUCAGGGCACAGGGAUAGUGUGCACGCCAAAGGUGACUCACCUGCUUGGGGUCAAAUCCUAGCUCUGACACUUAGGAGCUGUGUGAACUUGGGGAAGGAAUUCAGCUUCCUUGAUCUCAGUUUCCUCAUCAUAAGACGCAGGUGAUAACAGCACCCAACUCACAGAGCUGUUAUCAGGAUUAAAGGAGUUGUUAUUUGUUAAGCACUUGGAACCGGGCCUGACACCUAGUAAAUGCAAUACGUGUCUCGGAUAGAUGGAUGGAAGAAGAGAUGGAUAAAUAUAUGCUACCUGGUUCGAUGGAUCUAAACCAGCUCACUUUACACAUUCAAAAAAUAUUUUUUGAGUGCCUACCAUAUGCCAGGCACCUGGAGUUCAAAGGUCCCUACCAUUCCGAGGCCACACAUUUUUCACUGAACACUUACUGUGAAUAUCGAACGAGAUGACAUAGUUGAAAGUACUUGCUAAAUUUCCAUACAUAGUGAUGUGAUAUUAUCAUCCUUAUUUCUGUGUGACUAGCCUUUUCUGAGGCUUUAAAGGAGAAAAAAAAGAAACAUGAGCAUCCCGGUCAUCAAUAAGUGGCAAAUGUAGUCAUAAGACCAAACAUAAACACAGGCAGCAACAAGAGGGAAACGUGAAAUGCCAAAGCGUACAGGGCAGGCACCUGGAGGCGAGGAUCGGGGACGACGACACGGGCCCGGCUUUCUGGAAGAGGCGAGGGCUACACCAGGUCUGGAGGGUGGACAGGACCAAGCCUCGGCGUUCUGGAGUCCAGUCUGCCUCUUUCAGGAGGGCAGCUGGCAUGAGGUAAGGCACACAGCAAUGGCCACAGCGGAGAUGCUUCUGGAAUGAGGACCAUGUGCUCAGGAGCCAAGAGGAGACUCGUCUGAUUAACCGGAGAGGAUGUGGGAGACAUGUCAGAUAACAGGAAGCCAGUGAAAGUUCCAGACAGGAAGAAAGAACACGUGCCUGUCUGAAAACCCCAACGGGAUGGCAGGCAGCCUAGGACUUGAAAGUUUCAGGCAAAGAAUGUAAACGUGGGCUAUUUAAAUGAAAUAAUGAGCCCCCUGAAGCCCCACCUCUAAUCUAACUUCGAAUUGGUGUUCAGGUCCUACCCCUCCAGGGGGUUCUUCUCUGAGACACCCCUGGCUGUCGGUACUUUUGGCUGGAGUGGGUGGACGGUACCGCUAGCAGAGUGAGGCUAAUUCAAAUGCACAGUGCCAACGCUUGUGCUCCUUGGGCAAAACCCCUACAAAUCUGCAUUACAGUUUUCAUCUUACAAGGAGUGUGUCACAUCAAGGAAGGUUAUGAAAAUGUGUGUCCAAUCUUCAGAUGGAUGCAGUUUUCGUGUGAAGGAAAAAGAAGUGUAAUUAUUCCUAAUAAAGCCACAGUUACGCCCGGACACUCUGCAGAGGCAUGGGAUCUGAAGGCCCACUGGAACGGCAAGACCCAAGCCCUCCUCUAAUGGGGCCAGGGCCGAGGGCUCCCCUGGGGUCGGGUACCCCAAAACGUCUCUUGCUGCUAUGGAAGUGGAGCUCAAAAUCCCAGUUAUAAGCUGUUUACUAUUAGGGGAAAGAUAUCAUUGGACUCAGCCGUCGGCCCUGUCUGCUAGCCUUACCUUGGUGCAGGACACACAUGACCCUUCUCACAAAUGAUGACCUUAGAGUAAACAACAGCUUUCAACUCAAAUAAAUCCCCUCCAAUCCUCUGGGCUGAGCCUUCUCCAACUAACCCUGUAAUCGAGGAGAAGCGGCUGGGCCUCCGCACAUGCAGUGCCUCCACUCCAAGCCUUCCGCCACUCAGACAAACACCUCGAAGGGAGAAGGAAGACUCGGCCUCCCCAGUCUGGGCCAUUCUGGCCUCUCCUUCAAGUCCUGCAACAACAGGCAGGUGACAGCUGUCACCUGUGGUGCAGAGACCGUCUUACAAUUCAACACGGACAGAAGGCGGCCGCCAGCUUAGUCAACAGGAUCCAGCCGGCGAGCAAAGCUUCUGUUUCCGAUGCUGGCUUCUUCUGCGGUUGAUCAAGCAGCAGAGUUGAUCCCACCCACGUCCACAGGAAGGCGGGGUCAGGGAGGCCAGGACGGGGCGCCGCGGCUCAUGGGCUGUUGACAAUGGAUGUGAUGGUGGAUGAGCCCGGGCCGCGUGGCAGGAAUUCUAGAUCACCGAGGCGUGAUUUUUUCUCUCCUUUGGGACAAGCCAUUAACCUUUGAGAUGACAGCCCUGGGAUCGGAGCGAUGGAACGAUUUUUGAGGUCAACCACGAUCUAUGUUCUCAAAACCUGACAUCGACAUGCAAAAGUUGUGACUGAAUCCUGGUGUCCCUAAGAGGAAGACUAAAUGCGUGUGACAGAUCUUCUGCAAUCAAAAUGCCCCAUUUCCCAGAGUAUCUGUCACAGAUUGAUAACAUCCACGCAAAAAGUUAAGUACAAUUAUGUCUGUCACUAAGAAACAUACUUCGGAACCUGUGACUGACAACUUGCUGGAAGCUGACAAAUCCCCGGAAGAUUCUAGAACA
Molecule: long non-coding RNA, 4370 nt
Organism: Equus quagga
Lineage: Eukaryota; Metazoa; Chordata; Mammalia; Perissodactyla; Equidae
Exons: 3
Source: RefSeq, a predicted model, not a curated record